UCAUGGCUCAGAACGAACGCUGGCGGCAUGCCUAAUACAUGCAAGUCGAACGAGAUCUUCGGAUCUAGUGGCGCACGGGUGCGUAACGCGUGGGAAUCUGCCCUUGGGUUCGGAAUAACUUCUGGAAACGGAAGCUAAUACCGGAUGAUGACGUAAGUCCAAAGAUUUAUCGCCCAAGGAUGAGCCCGCGUAGGAUUAGCUAGUUGGUGGGGUAAAGGCCCACCAAGGCGACGAUCCUUAGCUGGUCUGAGAGGAUGAUCAGCCACACUGGGACUGAGACACGGCCCAGACUCCUACGGGAGGCAGCAGUAGGGAAUAUUGGACAAUGGGGGCAACCCUGAUCCAGCAAUGCCGCGUGAGUGAUGAAGGCCUUAGGGUUGUAAAGCUCUUUACCCGGGAUGAUAAUGACAGUACCGGGAGAAUAAGCUCCGGCUAACUCCGUGCCAGCAGCCGCGGUAAUACGGAGGGAGCUAGCGUUGUUCGGAAUUACUGGGCGUAA
RNAcentral lists this ribosomal RNA (499 nucleotides) under uncultured Klebsiella sp. RNAcentral's name for it is "bacterial SSU rRNA". It matches the Rfam family "Bacterial small subunit ribosomal RNA", at positions 17 to 563 of the family's 1533-position model. The record is from RNAcentral. Lineage: Bacteria; Pseudomonadati; Pseudomonadota; Gammaproteobacteria; Enterobacterales; Enterobacteriaceae.